RNAcentral lists this ribosomal RNA (491 nucleotides) under uncultured bacterium. Its description in RNAcentral is "partial 16S ribosomal RNA". It matches the Rfam family "Bacterial small subunit ribosomal RNA", at positions 29 to 506 of the family's 1533-position model. The record is from RNAcentral.
AGUGAACGCUGGCGGUAGGCCUAACACAUGCAAGUCGAACGGCAGCACAGUAAGAGCUUGCUCUUACGGGUGGCGAGUGGCGGACGGGUGAGGAAUACAUCGGAAUCUACUUUUUCGUGGGGGAUAACGUAGGGAAACUUACGCUAAUACCGCAUACGACCUACGGGUGAAAGCAGGGGAUCUUCGGACCUUGCGCGAUUGAAUGAGCCGAUGUCGGAUUAGCUAGUUGGCGGGGUAAAGGCCCACCAAGGCGACGAUCCGUAGCUGGUCUGAGAGGAUGAUCAGCCACACUGGAACUGAGACACGGUCCAGACUCCUACGGGAGGCAGCAGUGGGGAAUAUUGGACAAUGGGCGCAAGCCUGAUCCAGCCAUACCGCGUGGGUGAAGAAGGCCUUCGGGUUGUAAAGCCCUUUUGUUGGGAAAGAAAGGCAGCAGGUUAAUACCCCGCUGUUCGGACGGUACCCAAAGAAUAAGCACCGGCGAACUUCGU